This 878-nucleotide ribosomal RNA is filed under the name uncultured bacterium. Its description in RNAcentral is "bacterial SSU rRNA". It matches the Rfam family "Bacterial small subunit ribosomal RNA", at positions 28 to 896 of the family's 1533-position model. The record is from RNAcentral.
GAUGACCGCUAGCGGCAGGCUUAACACAUGCAAGUCGAGGGGUAACAGGGGUUGCUUGCAACCCGCUGACGACCGGCGCACGGGUGCGUAACGCGUAUGCAACCUACCUUCUACAGGGGGAUAGUCAAUAGAAAUGUUGAAUAAUACCCCAUACGAUCAUGAAUUGGCAUCAAUUUAUGAGGAAAGUUCCGGCGGUAGAAGAUGGGCAUGCGUCCUAUUAGUUAGUUGGUGAGGUAACGGCUCACCAAGACAUCGAUAGGUAGGGGUCCUGAGAGGGAGAUCCCCCACACUGGUACUGAGACACGGACCAGACUCCUACGGGAGGCAGCAGUGAGGAAUAUUGGACAAUGGAGGCAACUCUGAUCCAGCCAUGCCGCGUGCAGGAAGACGGCCCUAUGGGUUGUAAACUGCUUUUAUACAGGAAGAAACACCUCCUCGUGAGGGGGUUUGACGGUACUGUACGAAUAAGGAUCGGCUAACUCCGUGCCAGCAGCCGCGGUAAUACGGAGGAUCCAAGCGUUAUCCGGAAUCAUUGGGUUUAAAGGGUCCGUAGGCGGUUUAAUAAGUCAGAGGUGAAAUCCUACAGCUCAACUGUAGAAUUGCCUUUGAUACUGUUAGACUUGAGUUAUUGUGAAGUAGUUAGAAUGUGUAGUGUAGCGGUGAAAUGCAUAGAUAUUACACAGAAUACCGAUUGCGAAAGCAGAUUACUAACAAUACACUGACGCUGAGGGACGAAAGCGUGGGUAGCGAACAGGAUUAGAUACCCUGGUAGUCCACGCCGUAAACGAUGGAUACUAGCUGUUCGACCAACAUUGGUUGGUUGAGUGGCUAAGCGAAAGUGAUAAGUAUCCCACCUGGGGAGUACGCUCGCAAGAGUG